AGUGAACGCUGGCGGUAGGCCUAACACAUGCAAGUCGAACGGCAGCACAGUAAGAGCUUGCUCUUACGGGUGGCGAGUGGCGGACGGGUGAGGAAUACAUCGGAAUCUACUUUUUCGUGGGGGAUAACGUAGGGAAACUUACGCUAAUACCGCAUACGACCUACGGGUGAAAGCAGGGGAUCUUCGGACCUUGCGCGAUUGAAUGAGCCGAUGUCGGAUUAGCUAGUUGGCGGGGUGAAGGCCCACCAAGGCGACGAUCCGUAGCUGGUCUGAGAGGAUGAUCAGCCACACUGGAACUGAGACACGGUCCAGACUCCUACGGGAGGCAGCAGUGGGGAAUAUUGGACAAUGGGCGCAAGCCUGAUCCAGCUAUACCGCGUGGGUGAAGAAGGCCUUCGGGUUGUAAAGCCCUUUUGUUGGGAAAGAAAAGCAGCAGGUUAAUACCCCGCUGUUCUGACGGUACCCAAAGAAUAAGCACCGGCUAACUUCGUG
This 492-nucleotide ribosomal RNA is filed under the name uncultured bacterium. RNAcentral's name for it is "partial 16S ribosomal RNA". It matches the Rfam family "Bacterial small subunit ribosomal RNA", at positions 29 to 507 of the family's 1533-position model. The record is from RNAcentral.